AACGAACGCUGGCGGCAGGCCUAACACAUGCAAGUCGAACGCCGUAGCAAUACGGAGUGGCAGACGGGUGAGUAACACGUGGGAACAUACCCUUCGGUUCGGAAUAACUCAGGGAAACUUGAGCUAAUACCGGAUACGUCCGCGAGGAGAAAGAUUCAUCGCCGGAGGAUUGGCCCGCGUCUGAUUAGCUUGUUGGUGAGGUAACGGCUCACCAAGGCGACGAUCAGUAGCUGGUCUGAGAGGAUGAUCAGCCACAUUGGGACUGAGACACGGCCCAAACUCCUACGGGAGGCAGCAGUGGGGAAUAUUGGACAAUGGGCGCAAGCCUGAUCCAGCCAUGCCGCGUGGAUGAUGAAGGCCCUAGGGUUGUAAAGUCCUUUUAACGGGGAAGAUAAUGACGGUACCCGUAGAAUAAGCCCCGGCUAACUUCGUGCCAGCCGCCGCAGU
RNAcentral lists this ribosomal RNA (447 nucleotides) under uncultured bacterium. RNAcentral's name for it is "bacterial SSU rRNA". It matches the Rfam family "Bacterial small subunit ribosomal RNA", at positions 29 to 521 of the family's 1533-position model. The record is from RNAcentral.